This 253-nucleotide ribosomal RNA is filed under the name uncultured bacterium. RNAcentral's name for it is "partial 16S ribosomal RNA". It matches the Rfam family "Bacterial small subunit ribosomal RNA", at positions 524 to 776 of the family's 1533-position model. The record is from RNAcentral.
UACGGGGGGAGCAAGCGUUGUUCGGAUUUACUGGGCGUAAAGGGCGCGUAGGCGGCGCAACAAGUCACUUGUGAAAUCUCCGGGCUUAACCCGGAGCGGCCAAGUGAUACUGUCGUGCUAGAGUGCGGAAGGGGCUACUGGAAUUCUCGGUGUAGCGGUGAAAUGCGUAGAUAUCGAGAGGAACACCAAUUGCGAAGGCAGCUCGCUGGGACGUUACUGACGCUGAGACGCGAAAGCGUGGGGAGCAAACAGG